Molecule: ribosomal RNA, 397 nt
Filed under: uncultured bacterium
Lineage: Bacteria
Description: partial 16S ribosomal RNA
Rfam family: Bacterial small subunit ribosomal RNA
Source: RNAcentral
AUACGUAGGGGGCGAGCGUUGUCCGGAAUGAUUGGGCGUAAAGGGCGCGUAGGCGGCCCGGUAAGUCUGGAGUGAAAGUCCUGUUUUUAAGAUGGGAAUUGCUUUGGAUACUGUCGGGCUUGAGUGCAGGAGAGGUAAGUGGAAUUCCUAGUGGAGCGGUAAAAUGCGCAGAUAUUAGGAAGAACACCGGUGGCGAAGGCGGCUAUCUGGACAGUAACUGACGCUGAGGCGCGAAAGCGUGGGGAGCAAACAGGAUUAGAUACCCUGGUAGUCCACGCCAUAAACGAUGAAUACUAGGUGUAGGGGGUAUCGACUCCCUCUGUGCCGCAGUUAACACAAUAAGUAUUCCGCCUGGGGAGUACGGCCGCAAGGUUGAAACUCAAAUGAAUUGGCGGGG